RNAcentral lists this long non-coding RNA (2635 nucleotides) under Linum usitatissimum (flax). RNAcentral's name for it is "long non-coding RNA (LUSI_LNC004139)". Lineage: Eukaryota; Viridiplantae; Streptophyta; Magnoliopsida; Malpighiales; Linaceae. The record is from RNAcentral.
AUGGUUUCAGUGAUGAAAGUUGAGAAAGCUCCGCUACAAUCUUAUGCGGACAUUGGUGGGUUGGAUGCUCAAAUACAGGAGAUUAAGGAAGCAGUUGAGCUUCCUCUUACUCAUCCUGAACUGUAUGAAGACAUCGGGAUUAGACCUCCUAAAGGAGUUAUCCUCUAUGGAGAGCCAGGAACUGGGAAAACAUUGCUUGCAAAGGUAAACAUAUCUAUAUUUUGGUUGAAUACUUCAUUGGUUGUUCAUGGUCUACUUAAUAUGACUAUUGGAAUCUUAUGAUUAUUCGUUGAUAACUUUCCUUUCGCAUUCUUGCGUUUGGUUUGUUGGAUAAUGUCUUGAGUGGGAUUUCUUCAUUUUUGCUUACUUCAGGCUGUUGCGAAUUCUACUUCCGCAACUUUCUUGCGUGUAGUAGGAAGCGAACUGAUUCAGAAGUAUCUAGGUGAUGGUCCAAAACUGGUUAGGGAGUUGUUUAGAGUAGCGGAUGACCUUUCACCUUCCAUUGUAUUCAUCGACGAAAUCGAUGCAGUUGGCACAAAGAGGUAAUUAUGCUGUUGCGUUUUGUUCUUGAGGUAUUUAUCAACGAAAUCAAUGAUAACUCACAGAAAACUGUGCUGUUCUUGAGGUAUGAUGCAAAUUCUGGUGGUGAGCGCGAGAUUCAGAGGACUAUGCUGGAAUUGCUAAACCAGUUGGAUGGGUUUGAUUCAAGGGGAGACGUGAAAGUGAUUCUUGCAACCAACAGGAUCGAAAGUCUUGAUCCUGCAUUGUUACGUCCAGGACGAAUUGAUCGGAAGAUAGAAUUCCCACUUCCAGAUAUCAAAACCAGAAGGCGCAUCUUCCAGGUUUGUUUGAUGAAACCAUUCACUACUGGAUCUUUUAACUUGUACGUAUAAAACAAUUACCGAUACAUUUGGUUUUUUUUUCAAUUCACGUCAAUGCAGAUACACACAUCAAGGAUGACAUUAGCAGACGAUGUUAACUUGGAAGAGUUUGUGAUGACCAAGGACGAGUUUUCAGGUGCUGAUAUCAAAGCGAUCUGCACGGAGGCAGGGUUGCUUGCUUUAAGAGAGAGGCGUAUGAAGGUGAAACUCCGAAAUCAAAUUGUGGAUCUUGGUUUCUAUCUCAGCUUGUGUUCCUGGUCUUGCUUACUUCAUCUCCUAAGCGCUGAAACCGAUUUCUCUGUUGGUUUUGUGAUUGGGAAUGUAGGUAACGCAUGGGGACUUCAAGAAAGCAAAGGAGAAGGUUAUGUUCAAGAAGAAAGAAGGGGUGCCAGAAGGACUGUACAUGUAAAAAAAAGGCCGUUUACUAAAACAAGUGCCGGAUCACUUCAUCCACAGAACAAAUGGAAGUGUAGGCAAUGAAUGCUGCGAGUCCCAGUUAGCCAAAUUUCUAGCCUUUACUCCUUUGCUUUUGUGUCCAUCUCCAUAAUUGUUGUGCUUUAUAUACGCAUCAGUUUAGGUAUCCUAGCACUAUCAAAUUUACAAGACACCAGCAGUCCAGUAACAGUUGUGUUUUAUACUCAUUGUCGCGAAAAACACCGUCUUGUCUGGCAAGGAAAUGGCUGAUGAUGUGUCGAUGUCCAUAUCGCAAACAAUUUUAUGGUGUUUGAACACCAUUACCGUAACUGAGUGCAGCAGGGCAAUGGUCGAAGAUAGCGAUAUGCCGUUUGUAUUUUACUUCGUCCAGUCGGUAAUGGGUGCUACUAUUGCUAUAUGCAGUCUGUAUUAGUAAUGGGUGGGUGCUGCUAUUGCUAUAUACCGCCCGUAUUGUACUUCUUCCGGUCGGUAUUUUGAUAUAAUGGACUAGUAUACUCUUAAAAAAAUAUUUGUUGUUUUACUAAAAUAACUUUAUUAACAAAUCUACGAAGAAAGAUUAAGCAGCGCAAGCAGAAGGGUUCCGAGACGGCUGCGAGGCUGCCUACUGUGACGCCGCUAACCAAGUGCAAGCUGCGCCUGUUGAAGAUGGAGCGCAUCAAGGAUUACUUGCUGAUGGAGGAGGAAUUCGUCUCCAAUCAGGAGCGGCUGAAGCCUCAGGAGGAGAAGAACGAGGAGGAUCGAUCCAAAGUCGAUGAUCUCAGAGGAUCUCCAAUGAGCGUCGGGAAUCUCGAGGAGCUUAUCGAUGAAAAUCACGCCAUCGUUUCGUCAUCUGUUGGUCCUGAGUACUAUGUAGGGAUCCUCUCGUUUGUUGAUAAGGAUCAGAUCGAGCCUGGCUGCGCAAUCCUAAUGCAUAAUAAAGUAAGUCUGAACUGAAUAAUUGAUAGUAGAUGAAAUUAGAUGAACAUUACCCUGGGAAUCGACUGUUCGAGCUGGAAUUUUGAUUGGAUUAGUGAUGUUGGUAAGUCUCUUGUGAGAAUCUGAACGCUGUUUAUGGUUUGGUUAUACCUUGAUAGGUGCUUUCUGUUGUUGGGCUUCUUCAAGAUGAUGUUGAUCCCAUGGUUUCAGUGAUGAAAGUUGAGAAAGCUCCGCUACAAUCUUAUGCGGACAUUGGUGGGUUGGAUGCUCAAAUACAGGAGAUUAAGGAAGCAGUUGAGCUUCCUCUUACUCAUCCUGAACUGUAUGAAGACAUCGGGAUUAGACCUCCUAAAGGAGUUAUCCUCUAUGGAGAGCCAGGAACUGGGAAAACAUUGCUUGCAAAG